Molecule: long non-coding RNA, 977 nt
Organism: Carassius carassius (crucian carp)
Lineage: Eukaryota; Metazoa; Chordata; Actinopteri; Cypriniformes; Cyprinidae
Exons: 4
Source: RefSeq, a predicted model, not a curated record
GUCAUAGAGGCUCUUGACGUCAGGCGUUACCUAGUACCACAAAAAAGACAGGCUAUUCAUGGAGCUAGGAGAAAAGCAGCCUAAUUUCCUGGGAAAAGCAAAGCCGAAUUCUGUUCCCUGAUUGGACGCACCACUGGUUUUUCAUAUGAGUGUCACGGAAACCGGUCUUAGAUGAAGAACUUAUGACAUUGCGAGUGCUACGGCUUAACGUGGAGUUCAGAGGCGGGUUUGCACAACAAACAGAUGUUCUUUGAUGUCAGCUGCAGUGAGGGGGAGGCAAAAAAUGGGAACGCUAAAAAGAAGUAGGAGGAAGGUGUGAGAACUCUAAUCACCAUGCAUCGCUCAGAAAGAAAUCUAUUGUAUCUCUUAGCUCAAACACUGGCUUUGAGUCACAGUUACAACGCCGGCUCACUGAUCCAGAGAAGCUAAAUUACACCGGCUGUCAACCAAACCUACGUAGAGCUCCGUUCAGGCUUGUAAUAAAUUAUGUAAAAGAGCCUAACAGCAAGAAAAUGACCGUGCCAUUUACUGUCACUUCAGAGAAUUUGUAUUAUGACAUUUCACGAACGCUUGGCCAAUUAUACUGGAUAGAUCUAUUGCAUAAACUAAAUAAUAGUUUCUCCACUCCAGCUAUCUGACUUAGUUAUUCAUUAAACCACCCACAUCACAAGUGCACAGUACGGCUCAUGACAUGUACUCCAUGAACAGCUCAUUUAGGUUAGAGUGUGUGUGUCAGCACUGUGUAUAAGUUAUAGGCCCACAUGCCUACAAAACCAGUAGUAUUUUCCAAAACACAUAACAUAUCUUCACAAUUUAUUUCCACUGCAGUCAACCCAGUGUAAAAGAGUACUGGUGUUUGUUAUGUUAUCAUAUUACAACAAAUCUAUGUAAUAUCUAUAUUUUUACCAUUUGAAACAAAUUCAUGUUUAUCUGUUGACCGCAUGAUUCAUUUUAAAUUUGAAUCACUAAGAAUUUAU